Molecule: ribosomal RNA, 253 nt
Filed under: uncultured bacterium
Lineage: Bacteria
Description: partial 16S ribosomal RNA
Rfam family: Bacterial small subunit ribosomal RNA
Source: RNAcentral
UACGGAGGGGGCUAGUGUUGUUCGGAAUUACUGGGUUUAAAGGGUGCGUAGGCGGCUAAGUAAGUCAGGAGUGAAAGUUUGCGGCUCAACCGUAAAAUUGCUUUUGAUACUGCAUAGCUAGAAUUAGGAUGAGGUCAGCGGAAUGUGGCAUGUAGCGGUGAAAUGCAUAGAUAUGCCAUAGAACACCAAUUGCGAAGGCAGCUGGCUAGACCUGGAUUGACGCUGAGGCACGAAAGCGUGGGGAGCGAACAGG